This 242-nucleotide ribosomal RNA is filed under the name Rhizobium sp. R-26820. Its description in RNAcentral is "16S ribosomal RNA". It matches the Rfam family "Bacterial small subunit ribosomal RNA", at positions 13 to 285 of the family's 1533-position model. Lineage: Bacteria; Pseudomonadati; Pseudomonadota; Alphaproteobacteria; Hyphomicrobiales; Rhizobiaceae. The record is from RNAcentral.
UUGAUCCUGGCUCAGAACGAACGCUGGCGGCAGGCUUAACACAUGCAAGUCGAACGCCCCGCAAGGGGAGUGGCAGACGGGUGAGUAACGCGUGGGAACAUACCCUUUCCUGCGGAAUAGCUCCGGGAAACUGGAAUUAAUACCGCAUACGCCCUACGGGGGAAAGAUUUAUCGGGGAAGGAUUGGCCCGCGUUGGAUUAGCUAGUUGGUGGGGUAAAGGCCUACCAAGGCGACGAUCCAUA